UCCAGACUCCUACGGGAGGCAGCAGUGGGGGAUAUUGCACAAUGGGGGGAACCCUGAUGCAGCGACGCCGCGUGGGUGAAGGAGCGUUUCGGCGCGUAAAGCCCUCUCGGCAGGGAAGAGGGAGGACGGUACCUGACUAAGAAGCCCCGGCUAACUACGUGCCAGCAGCCGCGGUAAUACGUAGGGGGCAAGCGUUAUCCGGAUUUACUGGGUGUAAAGGGGGCGCAGACGGCAGCGCAAGCCAGGAGUGAAAGCCCGGGGCCCAACCCCGGGACUGCUCUUGGAACUGCGCGGCUGGAGUGCAGGAGGGGCAGGCGGAAUUCCUGGUGUAGCGGUGAAAUGCGUAGAUAUCAGGAGGAACACCGGUGGCGAAGGCGGCCUGCUGGACUGCGACUGACGUUGAGGCCCGAAAGCGUGGGGAGCAAACAGGAUUAGAUACCCGAGUC
RNAcentral lists this ribosomal RNA (446 nucleotides) under uncultured bacterium. Its description in RNAcentral is "bacterial SSU rRNA". It matches the Rfam family "Bacterial small subunit ribosomal RNA", at positions 330 to 792 of the family's 1533-position model. The record is from RNAcentral.